AGUGAACGCUGGCGGUAGGCCUAACACAUGCAAGUCGAACGGCAGCACAGUAAGAGCUUGCUCUUACGGGUGGCGAGUGGCGGACGAGUGAGGAAUACAUCGGAAUCUACUUUUUCGUGGGGGAUAACGUAGGGAGACUUACGCUAAUACCGCAUACGACCUACGGGUGAAAGCAGGGGAUCUUCGGACCUUGCGCGAUUGAAUGAGCCGAUGUCGGAUUAGCUAGUUGGCGGGGUAAAGGCCCACCAAGGCGACGAUCCGUAGCUGGUGUGAGAGGAUGAUCAGCCACACUGGAACUGGGACACGGUCCAGACUCCUAUGGGAGGCAGCAGUGGGGAAUAUUGGACAAUGGGCGCGAGCCUGGUCCAAUCAUACCGCGUGGGUGAAGAAGGCCUUCGGGUUGUAAAGCCCUUUUGUUGGUAAAGAAAAGCAGCAGGUUAAUACCCCGCUGUUCUGACGGUACCCAAAGAAUAAGCACCGGCUAACUUCGUG
RNAcentral lists this ribosomal RNA (492 nucleotides) under uncultured bacterium. RNAcentral's name for it is "partial 16S ribosomal RNA". It matches the Rfam family "Bacterial small subunit ribosomal RNA", at positions 29 to 507 of the family's 1533-position model. The record is from RNAcentral.